CUCUCCUCCAGCGACGGGCUGGUUUUUGCCGCAGUCCCUGACCAAGUAUGCUGGGAGGACCAGCUCCCGCUCCACCCUGCUCCCCCUGGGAGGAAGGCUGACCCCUGCGUGGGAGUGUGACUGCUGGAAAGGCAUCCUUGCUGCAGCUGUGAGUGUGAUGGGACAGCAGAGUCACUCCUGCAUGGGAUUCUAGGGCUGGGGGUCCCAGAGGGGUGGCCUCCGCCCCUCCUGGGGGCCGAGGACUGUCACCAUGUCACUACGGCACUCUCCAGCUGCUGACCAAAGCCCUCGCUAACCGCAGCCCUGCCAUACUCUGGGUCUUUCCUCUGGAGCAAGGUGAAGAGACUGCAGCGAGGCGUGGAAUUGGGAAGCUCUUCUGGUUUUAUUAAAAACUCGUUCCACC
Molecule: long non-coding RNA, 403 nt
Filed under: Homo sapiens (human)
Lineage: Eukaryota; Metazoa; Chordata; Mammalia; Primates; Hominidae
Description: HSALNT0343320
Source: RNAcentral